This 107-nucleotide small nuclear RNA is filed under the name Catagonus wagneri (Chacoan peccary). Lineage: Eukaryota; Metazoa; Chordata; Mammalia; Artiodactyla; Tayassuidae. The record is from RNAcentral.
GUGCUUGCUUCGGUAGCACAUAUACUAAAAUUGGAAUGAUACAGAGAAGAUGAGCAUGGCUCCUGCACAAGGAUGACACACAAAUUCGUGAAGCGUUCCAUAUUUUU